Molecule: ribosomal RNA, 538 nt
Filed under: uncultured Burkholderiales bacterium
Lineage: Bacteria; Pseudomonadati; Pseudomonadota; Betaproteobacteria; Burkholderiales
Description: bacterial SSU rRNA
Rfam family: Bacterial small subunit ribosomal RNA
Source: RNAcentral
UGGCGAACGGGUGAGUAAUAUAUCGGAACGUGCCCAGUCGUGGGGGAUAACGCAGCGAAAGCUGUGCUAAUACCGCAUACGAUCUCUGGAUGAAAGCGGGGGACCUUCGGGCCUCGCGCGAUUGGAGCGGCCGAUAUCAGAUUAGCUAGUUGGCGGGGUAAAAGCCCACCAAGGCGACGAUCUGUAGCUGGUCUGAGAGGACGACCAGCCACACUGGGACUGAGACACGGCCCAGACUCCUACGGGAGGCAGCAGUGGGGAAUUUUGGACAAUGGGGGCAACCCUGAUCCAGCAAUGCCGCGUGAGUGAAGAAGGCCUUCGGGUUGUAAAGCUCUUUUGUCAGGGAAGAAACGGUGGGGGCUAAUAUCCUCUGCUAAUGACGGUACCUGAAGAAUAAGCACCGGCUAACUACGUGCCAGCAGCCGCGGUAAUACGUAGGGUGCAAGCGUUAAUCGGAAUUACUGGGCGUAAAGCGUGCGCAGGCGGUUGUGCAAGACAGAUGUGAAAUCCCCGGGCUCAACCUGGGAAUUGCAUUUGU